GGUGCCAUCACAAUCACUUGUCUCAUGGUUGCAAACUUAGUUGGAUAUGUUAUUGGACCAUCAGGCAUUAAUUCUUUGGGAUCUAGAUUCCUGAACAAACAAGGAUUACCUGUUCUGGGUGGCAUGUUUGUAACAUUUUAUGUGGGGACAAAGCUCAUGUUUCACAUUCGCGAUGCUGAACGGAAGAGGUAAUAAGUGUUUUGUCAAUGAUAUUAGACAAACUCUAUAGCGUGAAGGUGCAAGAGUUCAAUUUUGAACCUGACUGUCGAAACAUCAACAAUAGUAUUUGAGCAUAUGA
This 298-nucleotide unclassified non-coding RNA is filed under the name Hevea brasiliensis (rubber tree). The record is from RNAcentral. Lineage: Eukaryota; Viridiplantae; Streptophyta; Magnoliopsida; Malpighiales; Euphorbiaceae.